This 576-nucleotide long non-coding RNA is filed under the name Sinocyclocheilus anshuiensis. RNAcentral's name for it is "lncRNA (ENSSANG00000021447.1)". Lineage: Eukaryota; Metazoa; Chordata; Actinopteri; Cypriniformes; Cyprinidae. The record is from RNAcentral.
UAUUUCUCCUCAGGACAUUCAGACAGAUGUUGAUACCCAGACUGAUCUUUCUAAAAGGGCACUGGGGGGUCAGAUCCCGAAUACCAUGGCACAAGAGCUUGAUAAGUUUGGAGAUCUGGACCACAUUCAUAUAGCCUCGAGAAGGUUUGUGCAAUAUAUCCAGCAAUAUAAACAAACGGAUUCCUCCAAUGUCCUGAACUUUCCUUCAAACUGUCAUGUUCUUUCAGAGAGUGUUUCGAGGCCGGUGCGGAGAAAUGGACAGGACUCAUAGCCAUCCUUGAAGAGCUUUGGUUCUGGGUAAAGCUGAAAGAUGAGGAGCUGACAAGGCAGAGGCCGGUGGGAGAAGAUGUACAUACUUUACUGCAGAAACAAGGCUACUGUACGGCCUUGCACAGUGAGUUGACUGGACGGAGACAGGAUAUGAAUCAGACAUGUCUGUCUCUGGCUGUUCAACCUACAACAAUGGAAGUCCAGAGCAAUAUAGAGACGGCUUCAGGUGAGAGACGUGAUCAGGUGUCAGUUUGCGACCUCCCAGAGGAAUACUUUAUUAUAGAGGUUUCUCUUUCAUAGUACAGG